AGUCGAAUGGAUUCUCAACUGGCUAACAUUCGUUUUCGCAAGGUUUGUUCCACACAUUCUCAUUACUGCGAAGCUCAUCAUGGAUGCUUCCAAGUUUGAUAAAGGCGUCGAGCUGCCGCUUGCACUGUCUGGGAUGGCUGGCAUGAACCUGCUGAAUGCUUUGCUUGGCAUUGAUCUCUUAAACGCCGUAAGGAAAGAGAGUAAUUA
Molecule: unclassified non-coding RNA, 207 nt
Filed under: Hevea brasiliensis (rubber tree)
Lineage: Eukaryota; Viridiplantae; Streptophyta; Magnoliopsida; Malpighiales; Euphorbiaceae
Source: RNAcentral